This 468-nucleotide ribosomal RNA is filed under the name uncultured bacterium. RNAcentral's name for it is "partial 16S ribosomal RNA". It matches the Rfam family "Bacterial small subunit ribosomal RNA", at positions 28 to 507 of the family's 1533-position model. The record is from RNAcentral.
GACGAACGCUGGCGGCGUGCUUAACACAUGCAAGUCGAACGGAAAGGCCCUGCUUUUGUGGGGUGCUCGAGUGGCGAACGGGUGAGUAACACGUGAGUAACCUGCCCUUGACUUUGGGAUAACUUCAGGAAACUGGGGCUAAUACCGGAUAGGAGCUCCUGCUGCAUGGUGGGGGUUGGAAAGUUUCGGCGGUUGGGGAUGGACUCGCGGCUUAUCAGCUUGUUGGUGGGGUAGUGGCUUACCAAGGCUUUGACGGGUAGCCGGCCUGAGAGGGUGACCGGCCACAUUGGGACUGAGAUACGGCCCAUACUCCUACGGGAGGCAGCAGUGGGGAAUAUUGCACAAUGGGCGGAAGCCUUAUGCAGCAACGCCGCGUGCGGGAUGACGGCCUUCGGGUUGUAAACCGCUUUCGCCUGUGACGAAGCGUGAGUGACGGUAAUUGGUAAAGAAGCACCGGCUAACUACGUG